AGAGUUUGAUCCUGGCUCAGAUUGAACGCUGGCGGCAUGCUUUACACAUGCAAGUCGAACGGCAGCGCGGGCUUCGGCCUGGCGGCGAGUGGCGAACGGGUGAGUAAUAUAUCGGAACGUACCCAAGAGUGGGGGAUAACGUAGCGAAAGUUACGCUAAUACCGCAUACGAUCUAAGGAUGAAAGCAGGGGAUCGCAAGACCUUGUGCUCCUGGAGCGGCCGAUAUCUGAUUAGCUAGUUGGUGGGGUAAAGGCCCACCAAGGCAACGAUCAGUAGCUGGUCUGAGAGGACGACCAGCCACACUGGAACUGAGACACGGUCCAGACUCCUACGGGAGGCAGCAGUGGGGAAUUUUGGACAAUGGGGGCAACCCUGAUCUAGCAAUGCCGCGUGAGUGAAGAAGGCCUUCGGGUUGUAAAGCUCUUUUGUCAGGGAAGAAAAGGCUGUGGCUAAUAUCUACAGCUGCUGACGGUACCUGAAGAAUAAGCACCGGCUAACUACGUGCCAGCAGCCGCGGUAAUACGUAGGGUGCAAGCGUUAAUCGGAAUUACUGGGCGUAAAGCGUGCGCAGGCGGUUUCGUAAGUCUGUCGUGAAAUCCCCGGGCUUAACCUGGGAAUGGCGAUGGAGACUGCGAGGCUAGAGUUUGGCAGAGGGGGGUAGAAUUCCACGUGUAGCAGUGAAAUGCGUAGAGAUGUGGAGGAACACCGAUGGCGAAGGCAGCCCCCUGGGUCAAAACUGACGCUCAUGCACGAAAGCGUGGGGAGCAAACAGGAUUAGAUACCCUGGUAGUCCACGCCCUAAACGAUGUCUACUAGUUGUUGGGUCUUAAUUGACUUAGUAACGCAGCUAACGCGCGAAGUAGACCGCCUGGGGAGUACGGUCGCAAGAUUAAAACUUAAAGGAAUUGACGG
Molecule: ribosomal RNA, 912 nt
Filed under: uncultured bacterium
Lineage: Bacteria
Description: bacterial SSU rRNA
Rfam family: Bacterial small subunit ribosomal RNA
Source: RNAcentral